Molecule: long non-coding RNA, 1299 nt
Organism: Bos taurus (domestic cattle)
Lineage: Eukaryota; Metazoa; Chordata; Mammalia; Artiodactyla; Bovidae
Source: Ensembl
GCUGUGGAUUUAGCUGUUUUGUAACCACUUUUGUUGUUUUUUGUUAUUGAUUCACUGGAUGAAAGAAAGCAGGAUAAGUACCCAAGUGGAAGAAGACAGCCCUGGGCCACACAGCUGGUGGAAGGCUCCCUGAGCCAAGCUGGAGGUGAAUGCCACCAGUCUGCUGUGUCCAUGUCAUUGUCAAGACAGAACUGUGACCACUACUCUCAGUAAAUGUCGCUUCCUGGAAACCUCAGCUCAGGAUUACCUCACCAUUGAUGUCAGAAGCCUCUUGAUGAAAAUGAAAGAGGAUGUUCGUGAGAAUUAGAUGACAUCAUGACUGUACAAAGCGUCAAGUGGAAUGCCUGGUUCCUGGCUGCCUGGUGAAAUCUACACAGCUGAUGACUUUGGGCUCUGGUUUGGACCAUGACAGACCAUCCGUCUACUAUUGACCCUAUAAUCAGGUUGGUGGCUGGAUGUCUCCUGAGCCUAUGUGUGGACAGACCCAGCCACUUCCUGUUUUAGCUGUAUCAAGAAUUACGAUUUUAUUAAGGGAGAUAAUAAACUUAGCAAAUAAGAGUUAUUUUCCUAAACUACGCAGAGAAAACCAGAAAAUAUUCUUACGUAAGAACUGGCAAGUUCUUAGGCCUGAAAUACUAUUCUUCCCAAAUGAUGUUAGGCAUAACAUAUUAGUAAAAUAGUAAUUUUAAAGUUAUCUUUACAGAAGUCUUGUUUACCUGGAGUCUCUCCCCAAACCCUGCCACUUUUUCACGUUUUUGUUUUUUAUUCCCUUUGAUUUCCCUGGAACGUGCUUUCUUACUUGCCUGGUGAUUUCAAGUUUUGCAGAUUUGUUUUUAGUUCAGUUUUUAAACAGGUGUCUUUGUAAGGAGAGUUGAACAGUCAGUGGGCUGAUGCUGUGGUGUUUCAGUUUCUAAGUUUUAAACUUAUGGGACUUCUUUAAAGUGGACACAAAAACUUCAUAAAAGCUUUCAUGUUGACAACACUGGGCCUUUAGGGCUAAGCUCUAAGAAGGAUGAGAAAACAAAGAGUUACAUUGUAACUCCCUUGGUUAAUCUAAUUUAUUCACAUAUUUAACCACAGUCAGCAUGUAGUUGUUUUCCUCAAAGAGGCCCACUUUCCAAAACACAAUUUUCAAAAUGUCUUCUCUCCCCACAAAGCUCCUUGUGUUUCAUUAACCCUUUUUGUGCUUGCCAGCGUUUCUCUCCUAUAGUUAUUUGCCAGCUUAGCAGGACCCUGGUUGAAAAUUGACUCUAACCCUGUUUUCAUGACAUACUCUCUAAGCUACCAAUUAAUCCCAAG